Sorghum bicolor (sorghum) is the source of this 539-nucleotide long non-coding RNA. RefSeq lists it as uncharacterized. The record is from RefSeq and is a predicted model, not a curated record. Lineage: Eukaryota; Viridiplantae; Streptophyta; Magnoliopsida; Poales; Poaceae. The transcript is spliced from 2 exons.
UCCUCUCGUCUCCUCGCCGCCGGCUCGCGCGACAUCGCGACGGAGGCGGAGCCCAUGGCCGGCCGCCGCCGCAGCAGGCGAGGAGCACGUCGGGCGCAGCAGCCCCAUCGAAAGACGAACCUGCACUGCAGGAUCCCGCCGAUCCCAGACUCGGAGCAAAUGGAGAACCCAUAGUGAUUGGGCUAUGCUCUUAAUCCUGCAGUACAUAGUGAUUGGGCUAUGGUCUGAAUCCUGCACUUGGUGUGUUAUGAAAACCUUUUAUGUUCUGUUGCUUCAUGCUAUUUUGACCGAAGUCAGCAAGUGAAACCCCAACAUAUUUUUUUUUUCAUUUUUUGAUAAUGCAGACAUGUUUAAAUUCGCUCCCACGGAGAGUCGAACCUAGGUCUGAUGGUGCUACUCAGGUGCUCUAACCACUAGGCUAGAGGCCCUUUCGCGUUGCUUCAUGCUAUUCAUCCUGAGGACUUACAAAUGAAGCAAAUUUAAAUACCCCUUUGUUGUGAUUCUGAAAAUAUUACUAAUUUAAGUUUAGUGGGUUGAUA